UUCCGCUGCCCUUUCCGCCUCCUGCUCUCCGAAUGCCUGUAUCUGUGCCUCCCUGAGCUCGGGCCCGCGCUCCUUCGGACCUCCGGCUAUGAGGCUGUCGGGUUACGAGGCUUUCCUUCCCGUCACAGCACCUGCCAAUUAACUUGUGGCGAGACCCGGGCCGCCAUCUUAACGAGAGACCUUUUCUGCUCUUCCGCCGUACGACCUCUGUCAUUGGCUAGAGCGGCCUCGCUUUGCUGACAAUGUACUCUGCUCUCCACAAAAGCAAGGAUUUCUUUCUGUUUUAUCUUCAGCACCUAAAACAGUGCCUGAUAUUUGGAAUGAACAAACAACCCCUAAUCAAGUGAUUUUGUAACCAGGGCAGGAAGACAGACCUUGGAAGUGUAAAUAAAGCUAUGUGGACAAAGAAUGCUGAAGUCCCAAACCAACAUAGUCACCUAAAUAACCCUUUUUUUUUUUUAAACUAAAAGUUGCUUUAUUUGCUUCAAAAGUUUUUUUAUUAAGGUAAAACCGAUAUACUCUCUUAUGGUUUCACAUGAAAAACAUUGUGUAAAUAACCCAGGACAAAACUCCAAAGGAAUUAUAAAUCACCUGUCGUAUGCUGACAUUUACCCAAAACAAGUCCUAUAAAACUCCAGACCCCAAACCCUUAAGUAUGCCUCCUCCUCUCUGAGGUUGCCCACAUUUGUCUUCCUUAGAGUGUGUCACCCUUUGUCCUACCUCAGAUACUUAGGGAGGGGCUGCUGAGAGCUCUGGAUAGAACUGCAGCUGUACAAUCAUGGUCCUUAGUAGCUUGCCUGAAAAUCUUUUUUUUGCCUUUGGGAAUUUCUCAGAACAUAAUCUCACUCUAUCCAGUGCUCUGUGGCUCCCCCAAACCCUGGGGUGGUAGGGUCUUAGAUCCCAAGCCAUGCAGAUCCAAGUGGACACUGACACCAGGUGACCCUGGCUUUAGGAGUUGGUAAGGUAUUAUGCCCUUAUGCUGAGCAACUGUUCAGUGAGCUUCCCUUUUCCUUCCUCUCUGCUUUAUUCAAGUAAACCUGUCUUUAUCUACCUUGACUCAGGCCCUCUCCUCCUUUGGAGUGUAUUUGAAUAAAACUUUUACUCUGCUUCA
Molecule: long non-coding RNA, 1111 nt
Organism: Manis javanica (Malayan pangolin)
Lineage: Eukaryota; Metazoa; Chordata; Mammalia; Pholidota; Manidae
Source: RefSeq, a predicted model, not a curated record